UGGGGAAUAUUGCACAAUGGGCGCAAGCCUGAUGCAGCCAUGCCGCGUGUGUGAAGAAGGCCUUCGGGUUGUAAAGCACUUUCAGCGGGGAGGAAGGCGUUAAGGUUAAUAACCUUGGCGAUUGACGUUACCCGCAGAAGAAGCACCGGCUAACUCCGUGCCAGCAGCAGCGGUAAUACGGAGGGUGCAAGCGUUAAUCGGAAUUACUGGGCGUAAAGCGCACGCAGGCGGUUGAUUGAGUCAGAUGUGAAAUCCCCGGGCUUAACCCGGGAAUUGCAUCUGAUACUGGUCAGCUAGAGGCUUGUAGAGGGGGGUAGAAUUCCAUGUGUAGCGGUGAAAUGCGUAGAGAUGUGGAGGAAUACCGGUGGCGAAGGCGGCCCCCUGGACAAAGACUGACGCUCAGGUGCGAAAGCGUGGGGAGCAAACAGG
This 429-nucleotide ribosomal RNA is filed under the name Chloroflexota bacterium. Its description in RNAcentral is "Chloroflexi bacterium partial 16S ribosomal RNA". It matches the Rfam family "Bacterial small subunit ribosomal RNA", at positions 355 to 776 of the family's 1533-position model. The record is from RNAcentral. Lineage: Bacteria; Bacillati; Chloroflexota.